This 459-nucleotide ribosomal RNA is filed under the name uncultured bacterium. Its description in RNAcentral is "partial 16S ribosomal RNA". It matches the Rfam family "Bacterial small subunit ribosomal RNA", at positions 338 to 795 of the family's 1533-position model. The record is from RNAcentral.
UCUACGGGAGGCAGCAGUGAGGAAUAUUGGUCAAUGGGCGCGAGCCUGAACCAGCCAAGUAGCGUGAAGGAUGACUGCCCUACGGGUUGUAAACUUCUUUUAUAAAGGAAUAAAGUGAGGCACGUGUGCCUCUUUGUAUGUACUUUAUGAAUAAGGAUAGGCUAAGUCCGUGCCAGCAGCCGCGUUAAUACGGAGGAUCCGAGUGUUAUCCGGAUUUCUUGGGUUUAAAGGGUGCGUAGGCGGAAUGCCAAGUCAGCGGUAAAAUCGCGGGGCUCAACCUCGAUCCGCCGUUGACACUGGCGUUAUUGAGUGGGCGAGAUGUAUGCGGAAUGCGGGGUGUAGCGGUGAAAUGCAUAGAGAUCACGCAGAACUCCGAUUGCGAAGGCAGCAUACCGGCGCCCAACUGACGCUGAAGCACGAAAGCGUGGGUAUCGAACAGGAUUAGAUACCCUGGUAGUC